AUUGAACGCUGGCGGCAGGCCUAAUACAUGCAAGUCGAACGGCAGCACAGCAGAGCUUGCUCUGUGGGUGGCGAGUGGCGGACGGGUGAGGAAUACAUGGGAAUCUGCCCAGUCGUGAGGGAUAACGUAGGGAAACUUACGCUAAUAUCGCAUGCGCCCUUCGGGGGAAAGCCGGGGACCUUCGGGCCUGGCGCGAUUGGAUGAGCCCAUGUCGGAUUAGCUAGUUGGCGGGGUAACGGCCAACCAAGGCGACGAUCCGUAGCUGGUCUGAGAGGAUGAUCAGCCACACUGGAACUGAGACACGGUCCAGACUCCUACGGGAGGCAGCAGUAGGGAAUAUUGGACAAUGGGCGCAAGCCUGAUCCAGCCAUGCCGCGUGAGUGAAGAAGGCCUUCGGGUUGUAAAGCUCUUUUGUCCGGAAAGAAAAGCUUCGGGUUAAUACCCCAGGAGUCCUGACGGUACCGGAAGAAUAAGCACCGGCUAACUUCGUGCCAGCCGCCGCCGUAA
This 507-nucleotide ribosomal RNA is filed under the name uncultured bacterium. Its description in RNAcentral is "partial 16S ribosomal RNA". It matches the Rfam family "Bacterial small subunit ribosomal RNA", at positions 30 to 523 of the family's 1533-position model. The record is from RNAcentral.